GACGGAGGAUGCAAGUGUUAUCCGGAAUCACUGGGCGUAAAGCGUCUGUAGGUGGUUCAAUAAGUCAACUGUUAAAUCUUGAGGCUCAACUUCAAAGUCGCAGUCGAAACUAUUGGACUCGAGUAUAGUAGGGGUAAAGGGAAUUUCCAGUGGAGCGGUGAAAUGCGUAGAGAUUGGAAAGAACACCAAUGGCGAAAGCACUUUACUGGGCUAUUACUGACACUGAGAGACGAAAGCUAGGGUAGCAAAUGGG
Molecule: ribosomal RNA, 253 nt
Filed under: uncultured bacterium
Lineage: Bacteria
Description: partial 16S ribosomal RNA
Rfam family: Bacterial small subunit ribosomal RNA
Source: RNAcentral